Molecule: long non-coding RNA, 10295 nt
Organism: Epinephelus fuscoguttatus (brown-marbled grouper)
Lineage: Eukaryota; Metazoa; Chordata; Actinopteri; Perciformes; Serranidae
Exons: 3
Source: RefSeq, a predicted model, not a curated record
UCCAAACUCGGUGAGGCGUCUGCAAUGCAAACAGCGACAGGCCUAUUGCAGGAUACACGGUCCAGCUAGAGACUAGAGGCAGGCUUUUCCGUUUUCACUGGUUUGACUGUGAUGUCUUUAGGGUAAAAUGCACAUACCGCAAAAAACACAGGAAUGUGCACUCCAUGGCCACUUUAUUAGGUACACCUAUACAAUUCACUGCAAUCUAAUACAAAGGAUCUGCCAGUUAGGACACUGUCAGAACAUGUUUAACAUUGAGGCUGUAGUUAGUGUUGUUGUGCUGGACUGCAUUAUGCCACAAUCAGUAGCAUAUCACUGAAGAUGACAGCGCCAGAACAGUUUUGUCCUCUUUUAACAAUUUGAAAAAAUAUGCCUAGUAGCUGCUGUUUCAUUGUGGUUUGUAUGUUCUCAUGGAAAAAGUUAAUUUCAGUGAGACUUUUAAAAAAUGCUGUUUGCAGCAGGAUUGGAAAUUAAAGGUCCAGUGUGUAAGAUUUAGGGGGAUUAAUUGGCAGAAAUGGAAUACAAGUAUAAUUUCUUUGGUGUUUAAUCACCUGAGUAUAAGAAUUGUCGUGUUUUCGUUGAAGAGCCAAGUCGUAGAAUGAGCCGUUUAUAUCUACAUUUGGAGCAGGUCCUUGUCCACAGAGUCUGCCAUGUUGCAACACCAUGUUUCUACAGUAGCCCAGAACGGACAAACUGAGCACUGGCUCUAGAUAGGGCCAUUCACGUUUUUGUUUUCGACUUUUUGCGUUCGACACCAUAGUCAGCAGCCUCUCUGUGAUGGGCCAAACAGCACUGGAAAAACAAUUAUUUUCAUUGUAAAAUUGCUUUGUUUGGUGUUUGUACUGGUUUAAAUCACCGGGUCCAUUUGUUUGGGAAAGGAGGAGACUACUGCGGAGAAUUCGGCUCCUGGUAAAGCUCUCCUGAACAUCUGGUUCUUAAGUUAUCAGAGAUAAAAUGGUAGCAACACAUUAGCAGGUGCUGGGCUAGCUGCCCGUCUGCAAUGAACCAAACAGCAUAGGAGAAACACAAAAUUGUAACAUUAAACUGCUUUAUUCAGUGGUUUUAGCAGUUUUAAUCACUUGUUCUGUUUGUUUUGGAGAGGAAGAGACCUCUGCAGUUAAUUCGGCUCCCGGUAAAGAUCUCCUGAACGUCUGAGUCUUAAGUUAUCAGAGAUAAAAGGUUAGCACACAUAAGCUGGUGUUGGGCUAGCAGCCCAUCUGCAAUGAGCCGAACAGUGUAUAGGAGAAACACUGUAAUGUGAAACUGCUUCAUUCAGUGGUUUUACCAGUUUUAAUCACCUGGUCCAUUUGUUUCAGAAAGGAAGAGACCUCUGCGGAUAAUGUACCUCCAUUUAACGGGAGGAAAACAUCCCAUCUGGUUUAAUAUGACAAAAUCUGAAGUUUCCCUGCUACGCCAAAGUUCCUUCACAUCUCUAGCAGCUCAAAGCACAACAAUCUGCCAAAAAUCCGACAACACAAGCCCCAGAAUCACUUUCCUUUACUCAAUAAAGGGCCUAUAAUGUGCUGGGGGUUAGCGCUUUACAUGCCAGGUGGGGGAUCGAGGGCUGCGAGAAAUGCUGCGCUGUGAAGUUCUCUGACUUGUAGCCCUGUUUAGGAAAAAGCUCCUCUGCCAGCUGUAGUUGGUUUAACUGAGCCUCUGUGCUUUCCAGGGCUGAUUUUGAUCUUGCUGACUCUUGGCAGAUCCUAUGUACACUACAGAGCGCCUGACCGAGACAGUACUCGGAGCUAAGUGACAGAGCGCUCACCAUGGCAACGUGCUUUCCAGGCCACCUCCUCGGUCCCCACGGGAGCGUGACGAUGGGCCUUUUGUUUCUGCAGUCGCACCGUAGGGAUGAACCUACAUGCUGUUUUCCCGUCGAGCUUCCUUCCUUUUCAAUUAUGGACAAGUUCAUCUCCACCCUCCCGCAGAGCCUGAUCCCUCCCUACAAAUGGAAUCUAUUCAUCAUUAUCCAAGCAGACCUGGGCUUUCAAUGAGAUAUUUUGUUUUUGUCUCGAGGGUAAUAAAGUGAACGGCUCAAAUGACUACAGUCCUUCCUCAAGCCAAGGUCAAAGCUAAUGACUGGACACCUACAGUACAGGAACGGGCCUCUUCUCACACUGGAAUGCAGCAAACUUGAGCUUCCUCAGAGCUCAGGCAUCUGUUACUGGUGGUACAUGACAACUGGAGACCUGUUUAAAGCCUACCUAAACAUUAAUUACCCUGCCCUGUUGUUUUGUUGUGUUUUUGUUUUACCUCCAGAAGGAAAUUAUUAACAGACCUUCUCCUCCCUGGCUCUGUACUGAUCCCAUGACUCAACUUUCAGUCAUUUUCUCGAAGUGACCCAAUUUGCUUUUCUACUGCAGAUGUUGCCCUGCCCUACAGCCUUGAAUAUGAGCCCUUAAUUAUAACAAAAGAGUCAUGCAUUAGCAAUUUGACGUAUCAUUUUGUCCCAUCGUGUUUUCCUCAAACUUGAGUUGCAUUAGAAACUUCCUGGUGGUAAAUAUUAUGAAUGAGACACAAAUAAUGGCUCAAAAAAGCAAACAGAACAAACCAAACUCCAAAUGAUAUUUUCGUCACUUUGGCUAAGACCGUGCACUUUGGCAUAAAUCAAAUAAACAAACAAAGAAACAAAGCUUCUCACUUCACUUCUCACACUCUAAACUGUAAUUUUUUUGAGGAGUGCUGACUGGUGGGAGCGUUCACACCAACUGCUCUGUGUUAAAUGUGAGAAUAUUCAAGAAGCAAGGCACCAUAUGGUGUUAUUGUGUGGCAAACCUGCACAAAUUUUAAAUAAAAAAAAAUAAAAUUCAAAUGCAAGGUUAUUGGAGUGAACUAAAACUAAACUAACAGCUAAAAUAAGGUGUUAAGUUAACUGAAAUAAAAAUAAAAUAAAUUAAAAAAAUAUUUAUAAAAAUAAAUAAAAAAAAUAAAAUAAAAUACAUGAAAAUAAAAACUGGACUUAGAAAAAACAAAAAUUAACUUGAACAAGAUUGCAAAACUGACUAAAAUUAAAUAAAAAAUAUACAGGAAAUAUCACUAUCUUUUAGUGAGACUGGAUGUCUACAUGAAUUGGAGUUAAGUGCCUUCACAGAAUAUUGUAUUUGUAUUGUAAUACCUGUUCUGAGCUUCUGAAAUCUUGCCCCAGACAAUCAUAGACUUGCAACAUCCCCUCCAUGAGUUUCAGAUGCUUCCAUCAGGGCGGAGGUUUUGCCUCCCUAAAUGCAGCACUAAGCGCUACAGAUCGUUCUUUGUCCUGUCUGCUAUCGCUUAUCUUAACCUGCAGUGAUCCCUAAUUGUCCUUGAUUUACCCCUGAUAGAGUGGGAUACUGGAUUAUGUGUGUUAUGUACUGUACUGUCUGUUUUGUUGUACUCAUGACUACAGUCUGUAUCUCAAAUUGCCCCUCGAGGACAUUAAAGUUUUACCUCGCCUCACCUCACCUCACCUCACUCACCAUACCUUACCCCCUAUAUUAUUAAAAAGAAAACGCUCAUACUAAACAAACUCAUACUGAAACUGAAACAUCUUUAAAAAAAACAAACUAAAAUGAGCAAACCCACUCUAAAAAAUACCAAACUAUAAUAACUCUGGUUGGAACUCGUCAUGUACGGUGUUAAAUACAAGCUUUCCGCAGCCUUUUAUUAUUUAGUUACAAAUAGUAAUUGCAUAUCUAGAGUCAAAUGCAUGAAACGAAAGAUAAAAGACAGCUAAAAUGUUAUUUUCCAAUGACCCAGCCAAACCAGUAGCAGCACAUGUCUUUGCGCCACAUCUGAGCUCCUGUGACGUUAAUGUUUGGUGCUAUUUUUUGACCCUGCUAUCUCAUCAUUUGUUCUUUCCUGGCCGCAUAUCCUGAGGUCCAACAUUCAGGAAUCCCCUUCCUCUGUCCUUUGCACGCUGCUGACUAUCUAAUAAUCAUUUAACCCAUCCUGAUGUAGCUAAAUCUGUGUGGGAAACGUAUGUCUACAUCUCUUUAUCUCGUAUUAAAUCAAAACAAAAUAUAAUACCAGUUACAAGUGAUAAAGGUUAGCAUAACAAAGUCUUCCCAAAAAACUGUCAGUCAGCGAGGAGUUAUUUAUAUAAGGUCACAGCAGAAAAUGUGUUCAGACAGACGCCAGCACAAACACAUUAUGGUGUGGUGGCCUGAGAAGCGGUCAAACACUAUUUCUGACUGAGCAUUGUUUACUUUGGUUUGGACUGAGGAGCUGAGAGGAAGCAAAGCUCCAAACUAUCAUGUAGUGUGAUAUUUUCGUUAUCAACUUAGAGAUAACCACAAUGGCCCUUCCUUCCCACACAGUUUGUCCCUUUCCGCAGAGACAGCAUCCAGGUCAGAGCAUUCCUUCAGCAUCACCGCCAUUGUCUAAGAUAAGUAUGACAGAAUGACUGAGCUGGCUUCUGUACACAGAUGUCAGCUGGCCAAUUCAUCAGCUGCGCCCUAUUAGGGCCAGACCUCCAAAGCGAGAGUCCGUCGCAGAAUAGAUGCACUUUUCCCCAGAUACUUCAGCAGUAAUACUUGUUUCAUAAACCAUCCGACCACACUACUCCUCUUCCACAAUGAAGAAAUCAAAGUCAUAACCCUUCGGUGGAAUUUAUGCGGGGAGUCAAGCCACAUUUGAUUUAUACACAGAAGAUGAAAAGGUCAGAUUACACAAGGGAGCGAGUCGGUGUUAUUUCCUCAUUGUAAUGACACACGCCGAACCGCAGAGGGAAAGAAAUGUUUUUAAUACUUAGAAUUUCACCGUAGCCGCAACAAUUCCUGGCACAACGAAUGGUCUUUUUGUGGUUCGCCUAGGACAAAGCUUCACAGAAUGAAAAUAGCCAGAUUUGAAUGUAAUCACAUUUCAUUGUUUUCAUACUUAAGUCCACACACAGACUCUGGUGAGGGAGAUCACAGAGGCUGCCAUUAGAAUUUAUGGCAUCUUACAUAGUGUCUUUGCUCUUGAUUGUGUUCAUUAAAUGUCUCUGCUUUGAUUCUGUGGCUGCUACUGAAAAAAAGUCUAGACUUAAUGAUGCACAACAUCAAACAAGCCAAUCUGGGUAGUUUAGACACUAUUUUCAGCUCACAGAGCACAUUCUGAAACUCUCUGUGCUCCCCUUAAAUAAAUAUACUGAUUCAAAGCUCAGUCUUGGCUCAGUUAUUCUCUCGCUGAUGAAGAAAUUCUUUCAGUAGCUGAUGAAAGGUUAACAGUAACCUCCAAACAGCCAAAGAGUUUGAAACUGUAUGACAAAAGUAUCUGCUGGAUGUCUCUACCAGCUAUCUAUCACAUACCUGUAAUCAAGCCAGAAAACAGUCUCCAAGUACUAAAACAUAAUGGAACUUCAAGCUCCCCCCAAAACAGCAGAGGUGCAGGCGAUUACUUUCCACUCGGUAAACAGAAACACUGUCCAAACCGAGAUCUGUGUUCGCAGUGUCUGUGAAAGCAUUCACGAAGCUCCACAGGAUGAAGGUUCCUCUUGACAUGAAGAUCUUGGGUUUCAAGCUGUGCGGACCGUUAGUGCUGCUUCCUCCCUUGUCAGGGCCUGCCAGAGUAUCUGACUGAGAGGAAAACUGUUGCAUUUGGACACAAGACAGGCAUGUGGUUGCCAUCAGGACAGAGGCAUGGAGCACCAGGCCAGCAGUCCAAGCAAAGCACCCCAGAUGUCCCUCUCCCGAGCAACGCCUUCCAGCUCUUCCUGGAGGACCCCAAGGUGUUUCCAGGCCAGAUGGGAUAUGUAAUCCCUCCAGUGUGUUCUGGGUCUGCCCCUGGGCCUCCUAGCAGUGGGACGUGCCUGGAACACCUCUAACGGGAGGUGGCAUCCUGAUCAGAUGCCCGAACCACCUCAACUGACCCCUUUUGACGCGAAAGAGCAGCGGCCCUACUCCGAGCUCCCUCCGGAUGUCCGAGCUCCCUACCCUAUCUCUAAGGCUGAGCCCAGCCACCCCACGGAGGAAACCCAUUCUGGCCGCUUGUAUCCACGAUCUCAUUCUUUCUGUCACUAACCAGACCAAUGAAUCGAAAGCUUUGCCUUCUGGCUCAGCUCCCUCUUCACCACGACAGUCUGGCUCCAUUCUACCCUCACUCGUGAACAAGACACAGAGAUACUUGAAUUCCCUUGCUUGAGGUAAUAACCCUCUCCCAACCUGGAGGGGACAAUCUACUGGUUUCCGGCAAAGAACCAUGGCCUCAGAUUUGGAGGUGCUGACUCCUGCCUGCUUUUAACACACUAUUAGUGUUACUUUGAAUUAAUAAAGAGAACUUUAUUUAAAUCACAUGCAACCAUGAUGAACAAGAAUCCAAAAACAGCAAAUAUUGCUGAUAAACUGAAGUCAAUGGGGACCAUUAUGAACAACGGCAAAAACUGAAUCAAAACAUCUGUUUUCAAACUCUCAAACAACUCCUACAGUAUAAUCCAGGUCUCAUUUAUUCAGUCGCUUGCUUAGUGCUUCCCAAACAUGUUGCUUUACCUUGCCUUAAGCCCUUUCUGACUAAAAGUGAAAACUUUCAGUGCUUCCACUUCUAGUUUGCCACUUUUGGAUUCUUUAUCCACCAGAGGCAUGAAAGAAAAACAAAGUUUUCUUCACAAACUCAACGGUAACACGGCAUGACUAAUUGAUAUAUACAUGACCAUUUUGUGGGCAAAGUAUUCCCUUAAACAAAAUAAACGGCAACCACUUCUGUGCAUGCUCAAGCGCAUUUUUGUGUGUGUUUUAGUUUCUAUUGCCCCUCUUUAUAUGUGUGUGCAUGUGUGUAGCCCAGAUAGGACUGUAAGCUUAGGCAAACCCACUGGACUUAGCAUGUCAAACAUCUGCCCGAGCCUAAACAGGGGAGUGUCUGGACCAGUGAAGCUCCUAAAAGAGAGCAAUAAGCCCUGAGCUCUGUAAGGCAUCAGUGGUUGACGGGAGCUUUGCUAAACACAGUUCCUGAGACAAGUCAUUCAUCAAACUCCCUUUUUCGCUAUGACUCUAAAAUAGUAUCCUGGUUACUUAAUGUGAGUGAGAUUAGAGCUGCGGUGAGCAGAACAUAAGUUCUUGUCAUUUAUGUCCUUGUGAAGAUUCAUAACGUCACCAUUCAUAUUUGAACAAUACAUUUACGAACAGGGAAGUGCACUGAGUAAAUCUUUUGCUAUCUAUAAACUCUCUGAUGACCGUGGCACUGUAUAUUUACAAGGGUUUGAACAAGGCAUGAAUCAAGCCCAACUGCUGCAUGAUGGAAGCCAGUGCCAUGAGCAAAUACCUUUUGUUUUAAGACACAUGGUUCAAAAGAUCAGGAAUCCCCUUAAAUGAGCAGUGUUUUAAGGGGAUUUAGUGACCUCUAGUGGCGAGGAUUGCAUAUUGCAACCAGCUGAAACUUCUGGUUAGAAUUCCUUUAAUGUUCAUUGUUCAAGAGGUUUUUACUGAGAGCUGAAUUAAUCAUAGAGGUUUUUACUCUCCAAAACAAACAGACCCAGUGAUUUGAACCGUUAAAAACACAGAAUAAAGCACAUAAAAAAAUCAGUGUGGCUCUGAUGGUGGGGCUGCUUACUACUAUGGCCGACGUGAAAACACAAACCAAAUACUAAAGGCAGUGUUUGGUUUGUCCCCACUCCCUAUGUGAAUAUAAAAUGGUUUAUUCCAAGGUAACAGAAGCACAACAAUUCUUGUUUCAGGUGAUUAUAUACUAAAGAAAACAUAUUUAUUGUAUUAUAUGCCAUUUCCGCCAAUAUAUCCCCUUAAAUCCUACACACUGGAGCUUUAAAGAAAAGAACACGAGGAUGCCCUUUUAGUUUGCAGUUCAUCGCAGGAACUAAUCAAUCAAUCAAUCAAUCAAUCAAUCAAACUUUAUUUAUAUAGCGCCUUUCAUACAUCAAAAAUGCAACUCCAAAGCACUAAGUGAGAGAUAACAGUCAGCAGCACCAGUAGUAAACCUGCAGGGUCAAUUAGAUGUGUUUGAAUGGAUCCCUCUGUUGUAGGAAGAUGCUUCAAAGAGAUCAGCUGAUGAUAAGCUGAUCUGGCCGAAUGGCUGCAUGUUAUUGUCUGAGUUUGCACCACGAAAUCUAUUAUCACUGUAUUUUAACUUCUCAUGCUUUAAUUGCUCACAGUCUGUUUGUGAUGCGCAUUUGAUCGUUCUUGUAUGACCUGUCAUGACUGUCCUUUGUCUCCAGUAGAGGCCAAUCAGAGUCAGAGGUCAGUUAAGGUCAGUGUGAUGUGGUGAAAACUGAGCCGUUACAUUCUGCAAAAGCACAAAUUGCUGGGGUGUGUAAGUGAGCCUGGUUACAGUGUUGCAAAUAGCCCAGCUGAACUGUAAGUAAUGCUGUAGCUAGCCUUGAAGAGUUUCGGUGAAAGGGAGUAAACAAAUCAUUUUAAUUUAUGUAUGGCGAAGCUUUUCCAUCUACUCUGUUUGCACUAGCUUUCUGAACAAUGCUGCAACACAGAAUCUGACCUACCAGCGGUGAACUCUAGAUGCAGAAUUUUCUGCGUGUCUAAGUACAUAAGAGACACAUUAUACUGUAUAUAUAUAUAUAUAUAUAUGUACAUUAAAACCUAAAUUGCUGAACUGACACUUUAGUCUCAACUAACCUUGUUGUUAUUACUGUUCUGUGGUCAAUAACAAUCCAAGAUGAUUGAUUUUUUAAUAAAGUUUUCCUCUCGUUAAGCCAGACACUAAAUGAGAAACUGAAGAAUUAAAGGAGCCGCUGUAUGAGUGUGAGUAUGAGGACCUCCUGUGGAACUAACUUAUGAUAAGACAGCACUGCUACAGAAUAAAACUCAUUUGAAAGCCUUCAAAAGUCAUUGUCUGUGGUGCUGCUCCAGGACUUCUACAAUAUGGCAUCACUGUGUACCAAUUUUUUUUUUCAUUAUUCUUGUGAUAAGAGCACAUUCACCUCUUUUCUUGUGAGCAAUUGUGUUCAUUCCUUGUCACUGUGUAAAUCUGUCUACAUGGGGUUCUUUUCUCUUGACUUAUCUCCGCUUUGUGUAGGCUGAAACUUUCUGUAUCUCCCCUCUGCAAACAGAUUGGUACCCUGGGAGUUUAGACAAGCACAGUCUGACCUCUGACUCCUGGGUAAAUAGAGUAAGUUAACAACCAUCCUCAGGACAGAUAAGACAGGCCGACUGAUAAGUGAGUUCAGUGGAAGAAGGAAAGUUGGCUGGUAUGAAUAGUUCAGAGAGGUCACACAGGAGUCAGCUCUUUCCAGCCGCACUUGAAGGGGUUACUUAACCAAGCAUUCACACUCAUCCUAUGGAAGGUUAUCUGAUGAGCAGAGGAGGCAUAGCUAAAGUGCUGCCAGCCCACUCAGAGUGUGUAAAUUAAAGGAGACCCCUGAGAGCAACCCAGCCUUAUCCUGCCUCCACCCAUCACCUCGCGUUCUCCCUGAUAAGAGGUGUCAACCACAAACGUCCAGCGGAGAGAGAGAGAGAGAGAGAGAGAGAGAGAGAGAGAGAGAGAGAGAGAGAGAGAGAGCGCUAUGGGAGCUCGCGCAUAUGGCCAGCUGCUGUCCUGCAGUGUUCCUAUGAGCUCAUGCAAAAAGAGAGGGAACAGCUGAAAAAGAAACAGAGCCAUAUGCAACAUGUGUGCACUUUUCAUGCCUCUUUUUGAGAUCAUGUGACGUCUCCCACCUCAGUUCACUUUGAUUAUGUGACGUCUGCUCUUUUUGGCCGCACGAAAAAAUACAAAAAGCGACAGGAUGUUUGCUUUGAUUGUAGCAAGGUGACAACUAAUUCAUCACCACAAGGUUAGCCAAUAAUGUGCAGCUGCACAGGAAAGCCAUACCCAGGCUCUCCUGUCCUGUAUCAACUAUAAGUGCUGCAUCAGCUCCUAUUUGGCAGCAGUUCACUAAAAACAUGAUAAACACACACUGUUAGCAGGACUACAGUAUGAUGCACCGACUCUGCUUAGAUGUAUGCGGACUGGGUGGCAAAAACAUAGUGCUUUGCUGCAAUAAGACAGGACUUUUACUGUAAAAGAAAGUCAACAUCAUGCAUAAAACAGCUUUAUCAAUGUGUUAACGCUGCUGUGACCAAAACUCAUUCACUUCUCUGUCAUAUUUCACCACACAUGGUUAUUUAAUAAUAUAAACACUUACACAAGAAGCUCAGGUGGAGUAAAAACUUACUAGAGCGACUGUGAUGGAAACCAGAUAUCAAAGUUUAUAGCACAUUGAAGUUUUCCCAAACACAUGCACCUCUAAACAAGCCUGCCAAACUAAUGAUUUAGUUCACUUGAGAUGCAGAGCAUUAAAACUGCAGACACACAACAACAGAGAAAGUUCCUCUUUUGUAAAAGUACAGUGACAGAGAAGCAGCGGUUCACUGGGGUUUCUGUGGCACUGCACACACACUGAA